UACGAAGGGUGCAAGCGUUACUCGGAAUUACUGGGCGUAAAGCGUGCGCAGGCGGUUAUGUAAGACAGGUGUGAAAUCCCCGGGCUUAACCUGGGAACUGCAUUUGUGACUGCAUAGCUAGAGUACGGUAGAGGGGGAUGGAAUUCCGCGUGUAGCAGUGAAAUGCGUAGAUAUGCGGAGGAACACCGAUGGCGAAGGCAAUCCCCUGGACCUGUACUGACGCUCAUGCACGAAAGCGUGGGGAGCAAACAGG
Molecule: ribosomal RNA, 253 nt
Filed under: uncultured bacterium
Lineage: Bacteria
Description: partial 16S ribosomal RNA
Rfam family: Bacterial small subunit ribosomal RNA
Source: RNAcentral